GGGGGUAUAGCUCAGUGGUAGAGUGCCUGCUUAGUAUGCACAAGAUCCUGGGUUCAAGACCCAGUACCUCCA
RNAcentral lists this transfer RNA (72 nucleotides) under Camelus ferus (Wild Bactrian camel). It matches the Rfam family "tRNA". Rfam says of the family: Transfer RNA (tRNA) molecules are approximately 80 nucleotides in length. Their secondary structure includes four short double-helical elements and three loops (D, anti-codon, and T loops). The record is from Rfam by way of RNAcentral. Lineage: Eukaryota; Metazoa; Chordata; Mammalia; Artiodactyla; Camelidae.